ACGGUUCAGCAGUAAAUCUAUCACCAUCCCACACCCAAUCAUUCGAAUCCCACUCCCUACUCUUCUUCCCACUAACCUCCAUAUUUGACACAACUGGACCAUGAAAAUUACGAGCCUCCAUCGACAGAAAACUCUCCCCUCAUAAACACCCUUCACAAAUUAAAGAUGAAAUAUACAUCAAGAACAAAAAUUAUUCAAAAAUUCCACUCAGAAAAGUGAAAUCAAGCUAUAUUUUAGCUUAAAUUAACAGCAAACAAAACAACCCAGAAAAAUAACCAAACCCCACACCAAAAAACACCCUUUUUCAGCUCAACUACAUUUCUUACAAUUCACCCAAUCAACUAUUUUCAUUUCAGCACAAAACCAAAACCAAAAAAAAGCCGGAAAAACUGAAAGGUAAAAAGGGUUGUUGAUGAAUUCAAGUAUACAGCAAAAAACUUUGAAGUAAGAGAGAGCUAAUUAAGAAGACUGUUGACAGUACAAUCUCUCUGAGAAGAUGUGAUCGGAAAACAGUAAAAUCUCCGGGCAAAUUUCGCCGGCAAUAUAGAUGAUUUAUUAUUAUUAAAAAAAAUAUAGAAAUAUAGUGUGAGAGGAGAUGAAGGGCUUGUUUG
This 611-nucleotide unclassified non-coding RNA is filed under the name Hevea brasiliensis (rubber tree). Lineage: Eukaryota; Viridiplantae; Streptophyta; Magnoliopsida; Malpighiales; Euphorbiaceae. The record is from RNAcentral.